This 176-nucleotide non-coding RNA is filed under the name Chrysiogenales bacterium. Its description in RNAcentral is "6S RNA". It matches the Rfam family "6S / SsrS RNA". From Rfam's summary of the family: E. coli 6S RNA was the first non coding RNA to be sequenced, but its function was unknown until recently. The record is from RNAcentral. Lineage: Bacteria; Pseudomonadati; Chrysiogenota; Chrysiogenia; Chrysiogenales.
ACCCGCCUGCGCUGUUCGUGAUGGGUGUGCAUAUUCUUAGAACCUAAAUAUGAAACGGGACCCCAAUAUCUGGAUGUAAUGGCCGCGCCCCUCGGGGAUAGCCUGACCAGCCGUGAGGGGACCCACCUGGUUUGCCAGGUUCAAGAAGUAUAUUCACACGGCAGCGCGGGUUUUUU